AGGAGCUAAAAAAGCUGGAGGCACUACUGAUUCUGCUGUCAGCAGAUGCUCUGUGGGGCACUCAGUGCACAGCUCAGCCUGAACUGGAAGAAUGGACACUUAAGGACUUGGGGACAUCAAAUUAGUGCAAGUCUCAGGUUUAUAGUGACCCCUCCUGUAGCUGCAGCGCCCGGCUGUGAGGGCAACAGUGCAACAGCACAGGCAGAGGAGAGAGGAGCAAAGGACAACAGGAAUCAGCCAGACCCCCAAAGCUGCAGCUUCCCAGGCAGCUGCCUCGUUGUCUGAUGUGGAAUUCCUCCCACUGGAGCCUUUGGUUUCAUUGAGGUGUUGCUUGCUGCUGUUCAGGCGAGGAGGGGUGGGCACGUGGGAUAACACCUGGGCAGGCUUGGGGCUCAAAGCUGCGUGUGCAAUCUUGUCUGAGCUGGUGACCGACAUGCUGCUUGUCCUCUUAGCAAAAGCAAUGGCUGCUGGGGAAGUGUCUGCCCUGGAAUAGGCAGUACCUUCAGUUCUCUGCACUCUCAGACUCCAGCUGGGGCUCGGAGUGUUUGCUGGUAAGCCAUGGCUUGUGGCAGCAGGUGGAGCUUGGAGCAGAGGAGAACCUGACGUGGUGGCAUUGUGAUGUUGGCAUCUUCCCCCCUCAGGGGUCUUUGUGCUGUGCUGCCUCUCAGAUUUACUUGCUGAGGAGUAAGAAUUUGGCUCUUGGGAUUUCAGUUUCUCAAAAAUGAGAAGAUCUGGAUCAAUCCCUGUUGAAUUAGGAUAAUGUUAGUUAAUUGAUAAAGCUUGUCUGCACACCCACAAAAAUGGAGACAGAGGCAGGGCAGGGAGCCCAAAUAAUGCCCUUUUGGAUUGCAGGUGUCACUGCCUCGGGUUAUGGGACACCUUAUGGGAUGCAAGGGAUGUGCAUUUUGGGAUUGCACGCAAUUUACUAUGGGAUGCUUAGGGAAGGAACCAAAGGUGAGGAAAGGGUAGUGAGGGCAGGGAAAUCCAGGAAAGCUUUGUGUGUGUGACAGUCUGCACCAGCAGCUGGAGGGAGGCUGCACCCUGGGGACUCAAACAUGCCAGUGGCAGCAGCUGUUGAGUCUGGGGUCCAGACUGGGCACCCUGAGGUCCAGACUGAGCACAGAGCAUCAAAGCCCAGCUUCUGGGGGACUUUGCAUUGUAUGUAUGUGUGUGUAUAUAUACAGAUAUUUAUACAUUUUCACUAACACAAAAAGCAGGAUGAGGCUUUUGGUGCUCCCUGUGUUGGUGUGCUUGCUUUAUGUGUUUCUCUGUGUUACCUGUGUGCUCACGGUGCAUGUGUCUAAUGAAAAGAAAUGUUCAGCCUUGUUACUGCUUGGGUCUGGGGACAUGGAGCAGUGGCAGCCUCCUCUCUCAGUCUCUCAGAGCUGGGAGGGUAUUUUGGCCAUGCACAGUACUGAUGAGGUAGUCAGAGCAUGAAUCUUGAGAGCAGGGUAUAUCUUCAAGCUCCUUUCUCACUGAGUGGAAAAAAGGGGGGAAGUAUUUUCAGAAGUAGGUAUGUAAAUGAAAAAGGAAAUGUUUUUUAGCAUUGUGUGUUACUUCAGGAGAUAAUUUAGCACAGCAGCUGACCUGAUAUCAUUUCAACAUUUGCUAGAGCUGCUUUGUUUUCAGCCUUUAUAAAUGAAAUGCCUAAUUACCUGCUGUGAUGUUGUACAAAAUGACAUCAACUCCAGCCUUUAGAAUGCAGCUUUCCAAAGCUGGGCAAGACAUGUGCAGGCAGUUCCUGUUCUCAUGAAUGGCUCCAUGGUAGAACACUGCUAGAUUGCAGGAGACUGGAACCCAUAAAGAAGAAAGAUAUUUUGCAAGAAGGAAAUGCACAAGUCUUACCUGCAAACCAGGGACUGAUUUUCCAUGUGCUCUGCAAAGAGGGACCAAGAGGCUGCCACUGAUACAGGGGAGUCUGUGGCCAGUACCAGACCAGCACUUCAUGUUAUUUAGGAACUUCUUUCAUCAGACUCCUCACAUUUCCUCCUGGAAAACAAAAAGGUAUUGUGUGACAGAACAGCUGGAAGGUGACAGGCUGAGAAGUGAGACCCAAGCAGUUUCCCAGGUGAGGUAUGAACCUGCCCAAGUCCUCCUGUGAAUGUCAGUGAUGAAUUUAAUGAAAUGUGCAGCAUAAUUCCAUGUGACAUCAGCAUGAUGUUCCCUGCCUAUGUUGUGCUCCACAUAAGUAAGCUGAAUUUCAGGCCUGUGUUAAAAUCACCUUUAUCUCAUUUUCCUGAGAUCUGCACAUGUAUUUUCCCUUUGUUAUAGUAGUGGUAAGGUCAGAGUUUUAAGUAAGCCAAGUAUAUUGAUAAUUUCAGAAUAUGUCACUGUAACUCUGUUAAGGAAUAAAAGUUAUAAAAGACUAAUGUAAUGAAUCAUGAAAUAAUGAAAUGUAAAUAUGUGGAAAAAAUCAAACCAAGUCUUUGACAUUAUUCAAAUAAUGUGCUUGCUUUCUUUCUCCUUUAAAAUUUUCCUUGAAAUCAAAACUCUCUUGCAAAAUAUCUAAAGUCCAACAAAACAGCAUUUUUUUAGAGAACUGUUAUGUCAAAAACAGCUGUUAGUGGUCAGGUUUUGGUUUGGAGAAACGUAUCACAUUUUUAAUGACUCUGACCUUCUCUGAGGUUAGGGACAAUUGGAUCCAAAGAUUCUGGUUUCAGUCCCACCCCAGAAAAAAGAGGUGAAAUAUUACAGUUUCUCUUCCUGGGGCUUCAUACAAACCAUUUUUUAAACCCUUGUUUCCAAGGGUUGCCAGGCCCUGAGAUUCUCUCGGAGCUUGUCUUCAGACUAAUUCUGGCCAAACCUCUGCUCCAAGACUGGCAUCUGUGUGUUCAAGCAAAGAGCAACACAAGUCUUAGCCAGAUCAGAUUUAUACAAAUAUAUAUCUAGUGGCAUUGCAGAUUAACUUGAGCCAAGUUUUAUGACAAAAGGCACAAUGCUUAGCAUACACUAAUGAACGGAUGCUGAUUUAUGGAGUUUCAAUCUUGUGGUGAAUUUUACAGAGCUGGAUACUGAGUGGAAGUCUUCCAUGUGGAUUACCAUUCAUUUUACCUAGUUAUUAUGUACUAAAAUUCAGCACUGCCUGUCUACACCGGAAUUAAAAAAUAUCUGCUGUUUUAAAAGCACCCAGUUGAGUCUCCUCCAGGCACAGCUGCACAAGAAAUUCCUAGCUGUGAAUGCACAACACAUUUGUGCAGAGCAAACAUCCCUAACAGGGGAUCCAGCAGCAGACAGAGCCACUCCAGCAGCCUGACCCCUAUUCAGGUUUUAUCAGGGAACAUUCAUUUCACCUGAGGGAGUUUCAAGCACAUUCCUUAAGGGGUCUGUGGUGUAAAAAAUGGACCAGGUUGAAGGCCACUGCAAGGAUUUACACUCUUCCACCUCCACUCUGCUGUCUGGGGCCUGGACUUCCUCAUGAUCCACAGAGAAUGCCCACCACACACGGACUCUUGGGAUGGCCUUUUUUGCUGCCCAGGAGCACACACUUUAGUAUAUGUGACUAAAAAGUACUUGAUAGUAAACAAUCUUUCAAAAAACA
This is a long non-coding RNA of Haemorhous mexicanus (house finch), 3538 nucleotides long. RefSeq lists it as uncharacterized. The record is from RefSeq and is a predicted model, not a curated record. The transcript is spliced from 4 exons. NCBI's taxonomy places the organism in Eukaryota, Metazoa, Chordata, Aves, Passeriformes, Fringillidae.